This is a non-coding RNA of Trichobilharzia regenti, 46 nucleotides long. Lineage: Eukaryota; Metazoa; Platyhelminthes; Trematoda; Strigeidida; Schistosomatidae. The record is from Rfam.
GUACUGAUGAAGAGUCCCAAACUAGGACGAGACAGCUGUUUAGUAC